Molecule: long non-coding RNA, 976 nt
Organism: Oreochromis aureus
Lineage: Eukaryota; Metazoa; Chordata; Actinopteri; Cichliformes; Cichlidae
Source: Ensembl
GGAGUAUUGACGCUUGGCUGUGAACUGGUGUGGAGACGCUAACAGUGCAUUGCAAUGAGGCAGCAAAGAGAAAAGAUUAAACCCAUAGAUGAAGCUGAUGUGCCCAUGGCAUCGUCCUCCCUCAAAGAUGAUGAGCAGUGCAUUACAAUGAGACAAGCAAGACACAAGUUUAAACCCAAAGAUGAAGCUGAUGCGCCCGGGGCAUCGUCCUCCCUCAAAGAUGAUGAGCAGGGCACACUGAUCUUCCUCAUGUUGAUACGCCCAUGGCAUCGUCCUCCCUCAAAGAUGAUGAGCAGGGCACACUGAUCUUCCUCAUGUUGAUAUGCCCAUGGCAUCGUCUUCCCUCAAAGAUGAUGAGCAGGGCACACUGAUCUUCCUCAUGUUGAUACGGCCAUGGCAUCGUCCUCCCUCAAAGAUGAUGAGCAGGGCACACUGAUCUUCCUCAUGUUGAUACGCCCAUGGCAUCGUCCUCCCUCAAAGAUGAUGAGCAGGGCACACUGAUCUUCCUCAUGUUGAUACGCCCAUGGCAUCGUCUUCCCUCAAAGAUGAUGAGCAGGUGACUAAUUUUCUGCUGUUGUUAUUAUUACAACAAUAACACAACAUAGUUGUUUGGAUGUUGAUAGUGAGGUUGGUAGACACAGUUCUUACAGUGCUGGUUAACGUAAGAUACAUACAUUGUGAGGACUGCGUGUGUUUUGGAUAUGCAAGUCUAUUGAAAGAUGGGCUCUUCUUAAAAUGAACAAUUACAAAAUGCUGAAAAAAUGUGCCUUUUGUAAUGUUCACUUUUCUGCUUUGAAAUUGAUUUGCAUAAAUUGUAAAGGUGAGGAUUUUUGUUCAGUCAUUUUAGAUGAUUGUCUGUCAAGAUAUAACAAGUGGAAAUUUUUACCCGUAAUACUUAAUAUUUUAUGUUUUCAUCAAAAGAGAGAGAGGUUCCUCAUGAGUCUUGUUUUGUUGAGUAUGCCAUUAGAGUAGACUG